This is a long non-coding RNA of Ictalurus punctatus (channel catfish), 649 nucleotides long. The record is from Ensembl. Lineage: Eukaryota; Metazoa; Chordata; Actinopteri; Siluriformes; Ictaluridae.
GGAAGUGAGUGAGUGAGUGAGUGAGUGAGUGAGUGAGUGAGUGAGAGAGUGAGUGAGAGAGAGAGUGAGUGAGUGAGUGAGUGAGUGAGUGAGUGUGUGAGUGAGUGAGUGUGUGAGUGAGUGAGUGAGUGAGUGUGUGAGUGAGUGUGUGAGUGAGUGUGUGAGUGAGUGUGUGAGUGAGUGAGUGAGUGUGUGAGUGAGUGAGUGAGUGAGUGAGUGAGAGAGUGAGUGAGUGAGUGAGUGAGUGAGUGAAUGUGUGAGUGUGUGAGUGAGUGAGUGUGUUGUGUGUGAGUGAGUGAGAGUGAGUGAGUGUGUGAGUGAGUGAGUGAGUGAGUGAGUGAGUGAGUGAGUGAGUGAGAGAGAGUGAGUGAGUGAGUGUGUGAGUGAGUGAGUGAGUGAGUGAGUGAGUGAGUGAGUGAGUGAGUGAGUGAGUGAGUGAGUGAGUGAGUGAGUGAGAGAGAGUGAGAGAGUGAGUGAGUGAGUGAGUGUGUGAGUGAGUGAGUGAGUGAGUGAGUGCUUGAGAGAGUGUGUGAGUGAGUGUGUGAGUGAGUGAGUGAGUGAGUGAGUGAGAGAGAGUGUGAGUGAGUGUGUGAGUGAGUGAGUGAGUGAGUGAGUGAGUGAGUGAGUGUGUGAGUGAGUGAGUGAGUGA